RNAcentral lists this long non-coding RNA (883 nucleotides) under Equus caballus (horse). Its description in RNAcentral is "lncRNA (ENSECAG00000046945.1)". Lineage: Eukaryota; Metazoa; Chordata; Mammalia; Perissodactyla; Equidae. The record is from RNAcentral.
GGCACCUGGGAUCAGAACCGUGAACCCCGGGCCACCUAAACCGUACCAUUGUAAGGAUUGGUGAUCCCUGUCCUCAUGAAGCUUAUUUUCUAGUGAGAGCAAAGAACGAAAUUAUAGGACUGGUGGCCUUAUAAGAAGAGGAAGAGAGUGCGAGCUCCUUCUCCAUGUGCACACACCGAGGAAAGGCUAUGCAAGGACCCAGCAAGAAGGUGACCAUCUACAAGCCAGGAAGAGAGAUGUCCCCAGAUCUUGACCAUCCUGGCACCUGAUCUUGGACUUCCAGCCUCCAGAACUGUGAGAAGAUAAAUUUCUGUUUAAGCCACCCAGUCUACAGUAUUUUGUUACGGCAGCUCAUGCAGACUGAAAUGCUUUUCAUGACCAAAUCCUAUUGGCUCUACCUUCAGUAUCUAUUCAGAUUACAACCAAUCUCCCCAAAUUCUACUAUUACCCCCUUAGUCCAAGCUACUAUCAUCUCUCGCCUGAAAUACUGCAGUACCCUCCUAACUGAACACAGAUGUCAGUCCCCAUCAAGAGGUGGAGUCGCUUUCCCCUCCCCCAAAAACUCAGUUGGCCUUUUGACUUGCUUCAACUAAUAGAAUGUGGAGGAAGUGCUACUGGGCCUUUAAGAGACCCGACAGCUUCCCCUUUAGCUCUCUUGGAACCUCGAGCCACCAUGUAAGAAGUCUGACUACCCUGUUGGAAAGAGAGGCCUGACCAGCCCCCGUUUCUUACUAGCAACUCAGCUGAGGCACCAGACAUAUGAGUGAGGCUCUCUGGAACAUUCCAGUCCCAGCUAAACUCCCUCCUGAAGGCAAAAGCAUGAUGGCCCCAGCAAUCACCACCAUGGAGCAAAAGAACCAUCCAAUCAAUGCACAGAAUCAUG